Molecule: ribosomal RNA, 201 nt
Filed under: uncultured bacterium
Lineage: Bacteria
Description: partial 16S ribosomal RNA
Rfam family: Bacterial small subunit ribosomal RNA
Source: RNAcentral
UACGGAGGGUGCAAGCGUUAUCCGGAUUCACUGGGUUUAAAGGGUGCGUAGGUGGGUUGGUAAGUCAGUGGUGAAAUCUCCGUGCUUAACAUGGAAACUGCCAUUGAUACUACUGAUCUUGAAUUUUCAGGAGGUAAGCGGAAUAUGUCAUGUAGCGGUGAAAUGCUUAGAUAUGACAUAGAACACCAAUUGCGAAAGGCA